AAUGAGAAAAUGGCCCCCCACAAAGCUGUGGGCCACUAUGGACCGCCUUCCCAGUGCCUAGGCCCCAAACUUCUCUUUGGGUUUGAACAACACUUCUCUAUCUUAGCUAAUGGAGUCUCAACCUUCUGCCCCUGCCCUUAGGUGUGGGCUUUGCCACCAGACAGGUGGCUAGCAUGACCAAGCCGACCACAAUCAUUGAGAAGAAUGGGGAUACCAUCACCAUAAAGACACACAGUACCUUCAAGAACACAGAGAUCAGCUUUCAGCUGGGAGUAGAGUUUGACGAGGUCACAGCAGAUGACAGGAAGGUCAAGGUGAGUCAGAGAAAGGGGUUUGGAUAGUAAGAAGCUGGUUCUCUUAGCAUCUUGGCUUUUUACCCCAAGGGGCAGGUUCAUAAAGCCUGCUCAGUGCUGGGAUGGCUCAGGGACUAAGUACAAACUCUGGCCUAUUCUCUUCUCACCUUCCUGGGAAGGAUCUGUCAGCUGUCACUGGAGUGGGCAGCAGAGCCAAGAUAUUCUUCCGACCUUGUGUCUCCAGCUCCAGCUGGGUGACCUUGUACACCAAGGUAGGCAGCAGCUCCGAGGACAUCAGUCAUGGCUGUGACCUGAAGUGCUUUAGGAGUGAUGCCCAGAAGUCAGUGCCCUACACCGAGGUCAUCCUGGCUCUGGCAGCAAAGGAGGCAGCUGGGAACAAAAAAACUGAGCUCUAUCCUGAGAUUUCCCGUUCUGUAGAUCCCAGGCUAGACCACUGACCAGGACAAACUGUUUCCAGUGCCACCAGCUGACAGGCAGAGCUG
This 796-nucleotide long non-coding RNA is filed under the name Rattus norvegicus (Norway rat). RNAcentral's name for it is "long non-coding RNA NONRATT022675". The record is from RNAcentral. Lineage: Eukaryota; Metazoa; Chordata; Mammalia; Rodentia; Muridae.